Molecule: long non-coding RNA, 279 nt
Filed under: Capsicum annuum
Lineage: Eukaryota; Viridiplantae; Streptophyta; Magnoliopsida; Solanales; Solanaceae
Description: long non-coding RNA (CANN_LNC002092)
Source: RNAcentral
AACAACACCAUUUUCAAUAUAAAAUUAAUUAAAUAAUACUCCCUAAAGUAAUUAACUGCUCAACUAAUCAACCCAAUUAUAUAUAAAAAUGAAAUAAAAAUAAAAUGGAAAGAAGCAACAUUUGCUCCACUGCCUCAAUUCUUGACUAUUUGCCGUUGUAGGGCUGUCGGUGGCACUGUGAUGAAGCCGAGAAGGGAGUGGUUGUCUGAUGCAACUUUGGUCGGAAUAAAACCAAUGUUGCUAUUUUUGCCGAAAUUAGGGAAAGUUUCGGUGGAUNNN